CCUACGGGUGGCAGCAGUGGGGAAUAUUGGGCAAUGGGCGCAAGCCUGACCCAGCAACGCCGCGUGAAGGAAGAAGGCUUUCGGGUUGUAAACUUCUUUUCUCAGGGACGAAGCAAGUGACGGUACCUGAGGAAUAAGCCACGGCUAACUACGUGCCAGCAGCCGCGGUAAUACGUAGGUGGCAAGCGUUAUCCGGAUUUACUGGGUGUAAAGGGCGUGUAGGCGGGGACGCAAGUCAGAUGUGAAAACCACGGGCUCAACCUGGGGCCUGCAUUUGAAACUGUGUUUCUUGAGUACUGGAGAGGCAGACGGAAUUCCUAGUGUAGCGGUGAAAUGCGUAGAUAUAUGGAAGAACACCAGUGGCGAAGGCGGCUCUCUGGUCUGCAACUGACGCUGAGGCUCGAAAGCAUGGGUAGCGAACAGGAUUAGAUACCCUUGUAGUC
Molecule: ribosomal RNA, 443 nt
Filed under: uncultured bacterium
Lineage: Bacteria
Description: partial 16S ribosomal RNA
Rfam family: Bacterial small subunit ribosomal RNA
Source: RNAcentral